UAUUCUGCAGAAAAUAAAUUUAAUCCAACUUUGAUGAACAAAGUAAUUUAUUAUAAACAAAAACAAGAAAACAAAUAUUAAUUUGACAUGUUUCUGUAUUCUGCUUAUUCAAAUGCAAAACCUUUUUCUUCAACAUGUUUACUUGCAAUCGAUAAUUUUUAACUGGUUCUUUGUCAGGUACUAUUUAACAGGUAAAAGGUAUACUAUUCUCAGAAAACAGUCUUACUGAUCGGAAUCAAUGAUGCGCUUUGUAGAUAAGGUAACUUUACAGGACAGUACGUCACCUCGAAAGAUUCAGCUCCAAUUGUUUAAGAGACAGUUUGGCACCGUAGGAGACAUAUUUAGUAGACAUGAUUGAUAGACAGUUUGACAAGGCAGGAGACAUUUCGGGACCAAGACAAAUCAGUACCUCAUUUUGCUACCUUAUUCUGUUCCUUAUAAUAAAUACCACACUAGUAAUUUUUUCACAAAAAUAUUUUUUUUUUAUUUACCAUAAAAUUCACAAAAUCA
RNAcentral lists this long non-coding RNA (510 nucleotides) under Mytilus galloprovincialis (Mediterranean mussel). The record is from RNAcentral. Lineage: Eukaryota; Metazoa; Mollusca; Bivalvia; Mytilida; Mytilidae.